Molecule: long non-coding RNA, 2116 nt
Organism: Drosophila simulans
Lineage: Eukaryota; Metazoa; Arthropoda; Insecta; Diptera; Drosophilidae
Exons: 2
Source: RefSeq, a predicted model, not a curated record
AUGUGUUUAUGGCGUGUGUUUUUAAUGCCACCCGGCCGAAGGAGAGACUUUCCGUGCAGCACCACCAGUCCAAAUAGCAACCACCGUGCCACCGAACCACCGAGUCCAUCCGAAACCACCCAAACCACCCAAGCCGCCCAGCAAAACCCAACGAAGUAUUGGCUUGCCUGCAGCAGGAAGCUUGUGCGCAGAACCAGCAUUUUAGGGUAGAUACUUUCCCAGGGAUUUGCGCACUGGAUGGCCUCUAUGUGUUUUUCGCCUGGAGAGCGUGGAACGCACAGUGGUGACUUUUAAGCGAGCGGAUACAUAAGGUCGGUUAAUGGGCCCUCUGUCUGUCUUCUGUCUUGCCGGUUUCGCUCAGUGUACGGUACAGUCGUGGCACAAAUCAAAGGGUAGGUAGGUCAAUACGAUAGCGAAGCUGAUUGAAAGUGUAACGCUAGAUGGCGCUAUGGUUAUGUUCAUCAAUUAUUCAUGUUAUUAGUUGCAUCAGCAGGAUUCGUUCUUCCCAAAAUAUUUCGAUGAUAAAAACAUUUCAGUUCAAAUCUCAAAAUUAUGAUGCAUAGAUGCCAAAAUGACAAGAAGUAGUAAACUUCUAGUUCUUCCCACUAACAGCGAUAGCACUGAUAUCUCAAAUCUGAGAAAAGUGGGUAUGAUCGCCGGUGGGUGACUUUGAGGGACAUCAAAACAACGACCGCUAUCUGCGUAAGAUUAGCCCGUAGUCGUAUUCGAUUAGGAACAUGAACCAGCGCAAAAGUGGCGCGAAAAGAGCUUCGUAACUGUAAAUGCCCCCUAGAAGCUCAGCGGCUAUGGCUAUAUCGCGCUCGCCCGCUCUCUCCUUAUCGGUGUGUUGGUUUUUUUUUCUGCUUGUGUGAGUCAGUGGGGGGACUGAAUAACAAAACUUUUGGCGCCAUUUUUAGUCUGCACUCGAGAGUGCAGCACGCAAAGCGCUAGAAAAUAACAACAAGACAGGCACGCGGAAGAAAAAACAAACUGAUUCGGCAAAUAGCAACCAAAUUACCAGUUAAAAUAGGUGAAAAUUGGCUAAAUGGGCGUCCAGAUACAGCAGGAUCAGCGAGGAUCCUGAACGGAGCUGCAUUACAAACUACAUGGCAAGCAUUAAACGCGAAUUAAUCAUGCGAUAUGCAGCGAGAAAAGCAAAAGUCCAGGCUGACUGAAAAACAGGAUUAGCCUUGCAGGACCAAGUGGAAAAGUGCAAAAGGCAGGGCAAAAGGGCUCAGGCCCAGAGAAGCCGCAGAUGGCGACAGGUGGGUGGACAGCGGGUGGCCAAUUCCCGAAGGCGAGACCCAAAGCCGAUCAGAAAUCAAGAGCCCCCAACAAGCAGGUGCGACUGAAAGUGACUUGCACUGGGGAACGCUCCGCAGACAGCAACAAACUACACUGGCCAAACCGAAACUUGAUCGAAGUAUGCACUUGCAAAAUAUUUCAUAAGAGUGCAAGAUUUCAUUUCUUGCAGUGUGUUAUUUCCAAAAAUAUUUAGUUUUUAGGUAAAUAAUAUGUCCAUAUCGCCAGGAUGGCCAUUUAUCUUACGACGCUCCAUAGAGAGCAUAUACUGGAUUUUCGACUGCAUUAGCAUGGCACUGGCCAAUGGCAUAUUACGGAUUUGCGCGGCAACGCUCAACCCGAAGUAGGUGAAUUCGUCCUCGCCUCGCAUUUCAACUCCGAGGCCAAUUCCAUUCGUCCGUCCAGCUGCCGAUGAUCCCAGGCCCAAUCCCAAGACAUCACUUUUUUCAGAAAUGGAGCAGGCUGUCGACAGAGGACAGUUCCCUGCCAUCGGAACAGGCGCUGGUGCUGGAUGUGCUGGUGAGAUGAUGUCUCCGAUCUUGGACAGGGAGGGCGGUGGAGUGGGAGGCUCCUCCAUGGGCAUAGGUGCUGGCAGAACGGUAAACAAGGAAGAGGGUGUAGGAUCCAACGGCCUUUCGGGGGCAGACAAGUCAUCGGGAUCUGGCUUAAUCUCCGUCUGAAUCUUAAUUGGCUUCAGUCUGGUAAGCCGAAUCUGUAGACGCUUUAGUUGAGGAAUUGAUGUUUCCAACUCAUUCUGUAACCAAAUAUAACAUUGUUAUUUGUGUUAUAAUUUAUACAUGAGAAUACGUUUAAA